UCCCUACCACAACAGUAGAAUAGUAGCGAAAACGUCUACAGUGACAGCCACUCUGCAGCCGUGUGCCCUGCGGCUGGUGUAAUAGUGUACAGAGAGUCCGAAAGGGCGACUUCCCGAACCACCGGCGCGCUGCCUAACUGCUCAGGAAAUUCUACGGAGUUUUUGGAACAUAAUUUCCCCAAAGGAGUGACGAGAUUCUGGAAUUACUGGAGUUGUGGGAAUAGGUUGUCGCUCAAGAGCAACUCAUAUUUCGAGGAAGGGCGGACUUUUGAACAGCGGGAGUUCAGGAUGGAGAAAGCGUCACUGUUUUUGCCCCUUGUCAUUCUACUGAUACAAUGCCUCCCCAUUGUCCCUGUUACCGUGUCAACAACCACGCCCAAGGUGGAGGUCCAUGAGAACUCCGAUGCGGUUCUGAGCUGUGAUUUUCGGACAGAGAAGGAACAGAAUCCUCGAAUCGAGUGGAAGAAGAAAGGAACAGAUGUAUCAUUUGUUUACUAUGAGGGACACUUCAGAGGAGCCUUUGCGGGGCGUGCAAGGAUCAAGGGGGCAACGGUGACCCUACAGAGGGUGACCCAGAAAGACGCGGGCGAAUACCGCUGUGAGAUCACUGCCCCUCACGACACCAUCACCCUGGGGGAGACUAACAUCACCCUCGAAGUCUUGGUGCCCCCCCACACCCCAUCCUGUGAGAUCCCCAGCUCGGCCUUGACGGGCUCUGUGGUGCAGCUGCGCUGUAGGGACCAGCAGAGCAUCCCCCCAGCCACCUACUCCUGGUACAAAGAUGACAAGCCGCUGACCCCCUCCCGCAUGGCCAACGCCACCUACCACCUCAACCCAAUCACGGGCAUACUGGAGUUUAAGACUGUGGCAAGAGGCGACACGGGACAGUACAGCUGUCUGGCAUCCAACAAAGUGGGGCCGCCCAAGAUGUGUGAGGCUAAACACAUGAAGAUAGAGGAUGUAAACAUGGCAGGGGUCGUGGCUGCGGUCGUGGUCAUCUGUCUGGUCAUCGCCAUUUGUGGCUUCGGGGGGUACUAUGCACACCGUAAUGGCUACUUCAGCAGUGAGUCUGUCUGUCCCCUCUCUCUGUCUGUCCAUGAAGCAUACAAUAUGUCUGGCUCUCUGUUAGAAAAUAUAAUUUGCACUCACUUCCUCUUACUUUCUGUCUCCACUCUCCUCUUCAUUUCUAUCUCCAGAACACAGAGGAAGGUAAGAGUUGUGUCCUUAAAUCCAUUAACGAUUAUCCCAAAUACAGUGAAGACACCCUGACACUGAACACAUCUGCGUUGCUGUGUAACUACCACUGACUAAUAGAGGUGUGUGCGUUUUAAUGUUCUGAGUAAGUUCAGUAGAGAGCGACAGGUGUGAUUGAGCCAAGCAGUGCAAAAGCCUGUCUCUUCUCACAGAGAGAGAGAGACACAAACAGGUAUUUUAUGACCCAGUUAGAAACACUAGGUUUGUUAUGUUAUUUUGACUGACUGACUCUAGAUUAGGCCAGUUAGAUGACUAGGAAUAAUCUCAUGAUUAUUUUUUAUGAAUUACAAAAUAAUAACAAUAAUGAGUCAUUGUUUAUCGAGGGAAGUCACAUUGUGAUUGACAUCUCUUUUUCAAGUGAACCCUGACUGCUAAUAAACCCCCCUCCCGGCUGAAUUGUGAUUCGCUUACCCCCCCUCUGUGUGGUCAUGUUUGUUAGUAACCCUGAGCAUGGUGUGUGAACCUCAUCCACCCCCUCACUCAACUUUGAACCCCCCCCCCAGGUCCUUUUGGAUCCCUCAGUGCCAUGGUGUGGCCCACAUGAGCAACCAGGACCUCCAUAGAACAAAAGACAAGACUAAUGCCAACUACAACCCUCCACCCCAAGACCCUGCGGACUUCAAACACACCCAGUCCUUCAUGCUGUGAGGACCUCGACAACCCCCUGGAAGACACCAAUAGAGUAGUUUCAUUCCACCCAAAUGAAUAGCUCUAAGAAUAGUUAAUUAUAUUUUUUGGGACUGACCAACCCUGCUCUCCUCACCCUUGUGGAUGGAUAGCAAGGGGGGGGACAGACAACUCUGCGUAGAGGCCAUUUAUUCCUCCUGUUUUGCUUUCCCUGGGCCCUCAAUGCAAGCCUAUUAUAUUAGUCACAUGGUACUCUACUUCCCUCUGGUGGCCAAGUUGUUAAACUACAGCAUAUCGCCAUGUUGUGGUGGACCCAUGGAAUUACGUCCCACACAUGCUCACUUCCCCCUCAACUGGCCAAAACAUGAACUACCUAAAUCUGAUUUUAUACCAAAGACGUGAACAUGGCAUCUGAGUGUAAUAUACUGUACAUAUUUUCUGAAGGCUAUUGGAUAAGGCUAUUGAUGUGCAUACAAUGUAGCCAUCACAUUAAGCCUCCCGAGUGACGCAGCAUCUCAGUGCAAGAGGUGUCACGACAGUCCCUGGUUCGAAUCCAGGCUGCAACACAUCCGGCCGUGAUUGGGAGUCCCAUAGAGCGGUGCUCAAUUGGCCCAGCAUCGUCUGGGUUUGGCCGUCAUUGUAAAUAAGAGUUUGUUCUUAACUGACCAAUCCAUUUUCUUCUGAGGGCAGUACUCGCGUAGAUCUGAUUCAGUCGGUUUGGAUUUUUAUUUAACCUUUACUUAACUAGGCAAGUCUGUUAAGAACAAAUUCUUAUUUACAAUGAUGGCCUACCCCGGCCAAACCCUAACGACGCAGGGCCAAUUGUGUGCCGCCCUAUCACGGCCGGUUGUGAUACAGCCUGGAAUCGAACCAGGGUCUGUAGUGAUGCCUCCAGGACUGAGAUGCUGCGCCACUCGGGAGCCCAAAAUUACAUAAUGUCCUCGCCCCCCUUUAGUCUAAUUAGCAUACAGGUAACAAACAAAAAAAAUCCACAUCAAAGUCCAUCUGUUUUAAGAUGGAGAGAUUGUUUUUUUACAUGGGCCGCGCCCCAAUAAUAGUAAAGCAGUGUUGGUCAGAACAGGAGACAUCCCUGAAAAACACCGGAGAUCACCACAAUAGUCUUAUGGAUUGUUUCCUCCAUUUUGAAUAUUGGCCAUCCACUAUAUUCCUUUCAGAACAGUGCAGCUGAAGGAAAGGAGACACUUUGGGAUCGAUUCAAUCCGUAAUGACGAAGUUCAGUGCUAUGAUUGAAAUUUAAAGGCGAUGUUCCUAUUUUCGCAGACUGCCUUCACGUUGAACGCUGCAUAUGUUGGCUCAAUCAUAAAUUACCUUUUACAUUUCAAUUGCGCAGUAGCUCUGAACUUCAGCAAUACUAAUUGAAUUGAGACCUUUGAGAUGGACCCCUGCUCACCUGAAGAUGCCUAGAUUUUCUGUGAUGCCCAGUGCCUUUCAAAAGUAGUUGUUAUAUUCUAUCUAGGGGCUCUUUUGUAAGUGUUUUCUUGUUUUGUUUAAGCUAAAGUAUUAUUGUGCUACUGCAUUUUUGGUCUUAAUAGUGUAUGUUUCUUAGGCUAUGGAUGAAGGGGUUGCUGUACGUUUAUUCUUUGUAAGAGGUUUAUUCAGUAUUAAAGAUUUUCUAUCAAAAACUUGUUCAA
This is an RNA transcript of Oncorhynchus kisutch (coho salmon), 3533 nucleotides long. It is a transcript of the gene named junctional adhesion molecule 2a, with no coding region annotated. The record is from RefSeq and is a predicted model, not a curated record. The transcript has 8 exons. NCBI's taxonomy places the organism in Eukaryota, Metazoa, Chordata, Actinopteri, Salmoniformes, Salmonidae.